Molecule: ribosomal RNA, 389 nt
Filed under: Syndiniales sp.
Lineage: Eukaryota; Dinophyceae; Syndiniales
Description: partial small subunit ribosomal RNA
Rfam family: Eukaryotic small subunit ribosomal RNA
Source: RNAcentral
AUUCCAGCUCCAAUAGCGUAUAUUAAAGUUGUUGCGGUUAAAAAGCUCGUAGUUGGAUUUCUGUUGAGGACGGCCGGUCCGCACUAUGUGCGUGUAUCUGGUUCGGCCUUGGCAUCCUCUUGAGGAACGUAUCUGCGCUUGAUUGCGUGGAGCGGUAUUCAAGACUUUUACUUUGAGGAAAUUAGAGUGUUCACGGCAGGCAAGCGCCUUGAAUACGUUAGCAUGGAAUGAUAAUAUAGGAUCUUGGUUCUAUUUUGUUGGUUUCUAGAGCUAAGGUAAUGAUUAAUAGGGAUAAUUGGGGGCAUUUGUAUUAACGCGUCAGAGGUGAAAUUCUUGGAUUGCGUUACGACAAACUACUGCGAAAGCAUUUGCCAAGGAUGUUUUCAUCG